Molecule: ribosomal RNA, 406 nt
Filed under: uncultured bacterium
Lineage: Bacteria
Description: partial 16S ribosomal RNA
Rfam family: Bacterial small subunit ribosomal RNA
Source: RNAcentral
AUUGAACGCUGGCGGCAGGCCUAACACAUGCAAGUCGAACGAGUGGCGGAAGGGAGAGUAAUGCUUGGGAAUCGUGCUUAUGGAUGGGGAUAACUAAGGGAAACUGUAGCCGAUAACGCGUACAAUAGGAUGGGCCGAAUUGGGAUUAGGUAGUUGGUGAGGUAAAGGCUAACCACGCCGACGAUCUCUAGCUGGUCUGAGAGGAUGACCAGCCACACUGGAACUGAGACACGGCCCAGACUCCUACGGGAGGCAGCAGUGGGGAAUAUUGCGCAAUGGGGGCAAGCCUGACGCAGCCAUGCCGCGUGAAUGAAGAAGGCCUUCGGGUUGUAAAGCACUUUCAGCUGGGAGGCGUUACCCGCAGAAGAAGCACCGGCUAACUCCGUGCCAGCAGCCGCGGUAAUUC